UGUAUAAGUCUAACAGAGAUUUAUACUGAACAUUGUCAAUUUCCACCUCCUUUUUUAAUAUUCAGAUAUGGACCUUGAUAGCAGGCUAUCUGUUAACUGUGUUAUUUAAAUGGAACCAAAGCACUGAGCGUUACCUGAGAGCAAUCUCGGUUCCUGUCUGGAUUGUGCUGCUCUUUCAUUUGGCUUCUGCAGCAGGGUCUUGGAGAAUUCCACUGGUUGUACUGAUAAUUAUCUUAAUGACCGUAGGUUUGCUUCAUGAGCAAUCAAAUGGAAAAGAGCCUCCAGAGGCACAACUUCCUGGUCAGGUAAUUUCCAUUGCAGCAUCUGCAGUCGCUAUGGUAAUCUCGGUUACAGCUUAUGAAUCAAGUAAUGAAGAUCAUCCAUUACAAACUUCAGGAAUUACAGAAAGUAAUGAUCCCUCAUCAGCUUCAUCCAAUGCGAACAGCAGGCAGAGACUUGAGAUUGAAAGACUUCCUAAAAAGAAGAAAGCCAGUGACAUCUACUUUGUUCUGCUUGCAUGGAGCAUCGUAAUAGUCCAGAUCUGGUUUAAUUUCUGGAUAAUUCAAUUGCUGCCCUUACCUA
Molecule: non-coding RNA, 582 nt
Organism: Python bivittatus (Burmese python)
Lineage: Eukaryota; Metazoa; Chordata; Lepidosauria; Squamata; Pythonidae
Source: RefSeq, a predicted model, not a curated record